UUGUUAAGAGAUCUUCAAUGGCAACAGAAAUCUAUAGCCCUCAUUUCAUAGUUUCUAUGUCUCUCCAAGUAAUAUAUUUCUCAUGGAAGCCGUCACCUUCUUAUUUCUUCAAGAUCAAUUUUGAUAGCAGUAUGUGGAAGAGAAGUGAUUUGGGAGGAGUAAUUUCUAUUAUUCGAAGUGACAUCAGUUCUUUAAUAGCAGAUGGUGCUGUUAUGAUUUAUGAUGCCACAGUUUCAAUGGCAAAAUUACC
Molecule: long non-coding RNA, 250 nt
Filed under: Elaeis guineensis (African oil palm)
Lineage: Eukaryota; Viridiplantae; Streptophyta; Magnoliopsida; Arecales; Arecaceae
Description: long non-coding RNA (EGUI_LNC020486)
Source: RNAcentral